This 497-nucleotide ribosomal RNA is filed under the name uncultured bacterium. RNAcentral's name for it is "partial 16S ribosomal RNA". It matches the Rfam family "Bacterial small subunit ribosomal RNA", at positions 28 to 507 of the family's 1533-position model. The record is from RNAcentral.
GAUGAACGCUGGCGGCGUGCCUAAUACAUGCAAGUCGAGCGAACACAUGAUGAGCUUUCUCCCCUGACGUUAGCGGCGGACGGGCGAGUAAGACGUGGAUCACCAUCUUAUAAGUCUGGGAUAAUUUCGUGAAACAGGAGCCAAUAACGCCUCAUAUAUUGAACCGCAUGGAUCAAUAGUGCAACACGGUUUUCCUGUCACAUAUAGAUGGAUUCGCGUCGCCUUAGCUAGUUGGUAAGGUAACGGCUUACCAAGGCAACGUUGCGUAUCCGACCUGAGAGGGUGAACCGCCACCAUGGAACUUGGACACGGUCCAGACUCCUACGGGAGGCAGCAGUAGGGAAUCUUCGGCAAUGGGCGAAAGCCUGACGGAGCAACGCCGCGUGAGUGAUGAAGGUCUUCGGAUUGUAAAGCUCUUUUAUUAGGGAAGAAAAAAUGUAUAAUAAACUAUGCACGUCUUGACGGUACCUAAUCAAUAAGCCACGGCUAACUACGUG